AGGUCAGAGGGCGGUCGUGGUCAGGGGCCGUAGCCGGGUCAGGGAUCAGCCCCCGAACACCUUGCGGACGAGGAGGAGUGGGCCAUGUUCCGGAAGGUUCCACAUGUCGGCCUCCAACAGGGGUCUUGACCCCAGGUAGAC
Long non-coding RNA from Amblyraja radiata (thorny skate), 141 nucleotides. RefSeq lists it as uncharacterized. The record is from RefSeq and is a predicted model, not a curated record. NCBI's taxonomy places the organism in Eukaryota, Metazoa, Chordata, Chondrichthyes, Rajiformes, Rajidae. The transcript is spliced from 3 exons.